GGGACUCAGGUGUAAACAAUCGAUCCUGGCCAAAAUCGAACCAACGCCCAGCCAAUCACGUGGCGCUCCUCCGGUCAUGUGACGUAGACGGUUCACCUCACAACACCGGGGUCAACCACGGCUACCAGCAUGAACGACGGCGCUUCACAACACCGUCUGAACUGACCAGUCUGGUGAAAUUCUGGACUGGAUGGGAGACUCUACCAAGAACUCUCUCCUCAGAAGUAGUGAAUGGCAGAUACCUGACAGCCUCCACCUGCUAUGAGACCUUACAUUCCCAGGACAUUACAAGGACCACACAUCAUUUAAGACUGACAUCCUGGCCUGUAUUUGCACUUGCCAGUCAAGGACCCAUGUAGCGAGGACCCGAUGCCAGGUCCAGUGGACAGACUUCAGACGUCUCUGUGUGUCCCGUCCUGUCCGGUCCUGUUUCUGGUUGCCAGGUUACAGACGCUGCUGCACCCGCACGUUUAAAAAUGUCUACACCUGAAACUCCACCACGUCUAAAGAAGCAAAAACGUUUGCAAAUGUACAGACUGGAGUGGGAAGAGUGGAACCCCUGGCAAUGGAUACAAGGCAAACUGUGUUUUCUGUUGCUCAUGGACUGGCUGAAGUAAGGCAGCAUCAGGAGACAAACAUGGAGGAAAUAUGAAAACAGAGAGAACCCAACCAGCAGGUCACAGUUUAUCAUCAUCUAAUCAUCUCCUGAAGUCCAUAUGGUAAGUGGACAUCAUGAUGAGAUCAGCUAGAUUUCCUACAGUAUAUAGCUGUGAAUUUACCAGAGGAUGCUUAUAAUAAUGCUGAUGUGGCCGUAGACUCUACACUAUUUUAGUGACUCAGUAAAUGCCUAAGUUGGUUAUUAUUUUUUAAAUACUUUUUAGUUUUUAAUAAACAUUUAUUUAAUAGCCUAUAUGUAAUCAAACAUGGCUUUUGCCUAAAAAGAAUAAUAUUUCAUUGCACAAGUAAAAGUAUAGUAAUUUUUAAAACCUUUCAAAUUAUUAUAUGUUGCUAAAAAACAAAAAAACACAAACAAAAAACACAUCAGUAAUAUGUCAAUUAAAAAAGCCUAUAGUAUAGCAUGUUCCCAACAAACGUCAUAGUAUAGCAUGUCAUCCAACAAACGUCCAUAGUAUAGAAUGUCGCUCUAAAAUUGUCAUAGUUUAGCAUGUUGCUCUUAAAACGUCAUAGUAUAGCAUGUCGUCCAACAAACGUCAUAGUAUAGAAUGUCACUCAAAAAAUGUCAGAGUGUAGCCUUUGGUCUAAAAAUGUCAUACUAUAGCAUGUCGCUCCAAAAACGUCAGAGUAUAGCAUGUCGUCCAACAAAUGUCAUGGUAUAGCCUUUGGUCUAAAAACGUCAUAGUAUAGCAUGUCGCUCAGAAAACGUUAUAGCAUGUCGCUCUAAAAACGUCAUAGAAAAGCCUUUAGUCCACAAAACGUUGUUGUGUCCUGGCUGUCUGAAGUAGGUGAGGAGCAACACAAAAACAGUACAAACGCUGGUUUCCAGAGGGUUUGACGAGUAUUUAUUUGAAAGACUAAGUUUACAACAACACAACAUGUGAGGGGGUUAAAAGCAAAUGGGUGUUAAUAAAAUAAAAAUAAAUAAACAGAACUAAAAGUGAACUUCACGUUGACAUUGAUGGGCAUUCCAACCAGGAACAAAGUAAAAGACAAUCAAUACAAAAAAAACCUCUUCCUGUUCACCUCUUAAAACCCAAAACACACCACAGUAGCACCCUAAACUAAAACUACCAAUGGGUUCCCUGUUUUCCUUUGUGAACAAUUCAAAGGUCCCUCUCUAUCUCCCCACAAAUCCACCAACCACUGGAACACAUCUCCAAAGUUCUGCCGGGCCAGCUCAGCUUCCCCUCAGAAGAAGUGCUGCCAGAUGAAGGAGCCUUUUGAGAGGCAGCUGGCAUCGUGAUUGGACUGUACUUUGGUCUGUUCCAAUCCAGCUUCAGCUCCAGAGACGGCAGGCGGGAUGAGUCAACGGAGGCCGGAUGGACGAAGGCAUGCAGCUGAGUACAAUCCAGAAAACAACAGAGGAGGAGUGCAGCGACCCAGGGCCAGAACAACCAGAGUAGCAUCUUAUGUCUCUUAGAAAACAUCAUAGUAGAGCCUUUGGUAUGAAAAAACGCCAUCAUAUACAUCGUAUAUUGUACAAAUAAGUCAAAGGAAAGAGACAUACAUUGUAGAAUUGUAGUAAUUGUGGGCUGACUGAUUUACUGAUUAUCAGUAUUUUUUUUUUUUUUGCUGAUUUAUGGUAAUAAAUACAUUUUAAAAUGCCGCUACUUUGGCUCUGA
Amphiprion ocellaris (clown anemonefish) is the source of this 2300-nucleotide long non-coding RNA. RefSeq lists it as uncharacterized. The transcript is spliced from 3 exons. Lineage: Eukaryota; Metazoa; Chordata; Actinopteri; Pomacentridae. The record is from RefSeq and is a predicted model, not a curated record.